This is a long non-coding RNA of Protopterus annectens (West African lungfish), 876 nucleotides long. RefSeq lists it as uncharacterized. The record is from RefSeq and is a predicted model, not a curated record. The transcript has 2 exons. NCBI's taxonomy places the organism in Eukaryota, Metazoa, Chordata, Ceratodontiformes, Protopteridae.
GUCUCAGCGUUCCUCGUUUUACUUCGAGGAAAUGAUGACAAUAUUACAAAGUGCCGCGGUUCUUUACAUUCUGCUCUGGAUGUCACGUCACUGCAGCUCCAUCCUAGUUCAACAGUCGCCCAGGAUACUUAACAAGAGACCCGGUGAAUCGGCAGAGCUUUAUUGCCAUCAGGACAGCAGCUACCCCGACAUGUACUGGUACCAACAGCCAGGGGGUCGCGGUGGGCUGAAGCUCAUGACCUACUCCUAUAGCACUGGCGAUCCUACGGAUGAAGACGAGUUUAAAGGCAGAUUAAACACCACCCGGGAAGGAGCUCAGAAAGGCUGGCUCACCAUCAAAAGCUUAAAAGUCACCGACACGGGAUUGUAUUUCUGCGCAGCAAGUAUGCACAGCGACACAGCUCUGCUGAGUAGGAUGCAGAAAACUCCCCCAAGCUGUUAUUGUUACAUCUUCUUGCAGUCUUUGCUACUCGGUUCUGUUUUUAACAAAUACAAGCAUUAACACUGAUACCAUCAAUCUGGUAACAAAAGAUUAACGGUACGAGACAUUUAAGAAGGUCCCUCCUCUGGUCGAGUAAUAGAGCUCCCCAGCAUCCAUUUCAGCACUGUGUCACUCUGACCAAGUAAUUUAACUAGAGUGAAAUCCAGGGUCGCCUCUGAAAAGAAGCUUGUGCUUAGCAGGUGUACUCUUAACAAAUGAAUGACAUAAAUGUUUGCUGCAUGUCUUCGAUGAAGUAUAUAUAGUCGUAAUUAAAAAAGCUGAAUACUUAUUAGAUUAAAACAAUUUAGGUGUUAAAAAAGUGACCGUAUAUAUGACUGAAUGCUGCUAUGUGUAAAUUUAAAAUGACCAAAUUAAAGUUUUAUAUACUGUAGGGA